RNAcentral lists this ribosomal RNA (473 nucleotides) under uncultured bacterium. RNAcentral's name for it is "bacterial SSU rRNA". It matches the Rfam family "Bacterial small subunit ribosomal RNA", at positions 335 to 801 of the family's 1533-position model. The record is from RNAcentral.
ACUCCUACGGGAGGCAGCAGUAGGGAAUCUUCCACAAUGGGCGCAAGCCUGAUGGAGCAACACCGCGUGAGUGAAGAAGGGUUUCGGCUCGUAAAGCUCUGUUGUUAAAGAAGAACACGUAUGAGAGUAACUGUUCAUACGUUGACGGUAUUUAACCAGAAAGUCACGGCUAACUACGUGCCAGCAGCCGCGGUAAUACGUAGGUGGCAAGCGUUAUCCGGAUUUAUUAGGCGUAAAGAGAGUGCAGGCGGUUUUCUAAGUCUGAUGUGAAAGCCUUCGGCUUAACCGGAGAAGUGCAUCGGAAACUGGAUAACUUGAGUGCAGAAGAGGGUAGUGGAACUCCAUGUGUAGCGGUGGAAUGCGUAGAUAUAUGGAAGAACACCAGUGGCGAAGGCGGCUACCUGGUCUGCAACUGACGCUGAGACUCGAAAGCAUGGGUAGCGAACAGGAUUAGAUACCCUGGUAGGAUAGCG